RNAcentral lists this small RNA (559 nucleotides) under Pan troglodytes (chimpanzee). RNAcentral's name for it is "retained intron". The record is from RNAcentral. Lineage: Eukaryota; Metazoa; Chordata; Mammalia; Primates; Hominidae.
CUUUUCUUGCUGCCUCACCCCAUCACCUUCAUUGUUCUCUGCUGGAAUCUUCUUCCCCGUGACUUCUCCCGCCUCUCCCCCAGGCUGACGGUGACCGCAGGACCCAUCCGACUCUGGGCCCUCGGGGGCCAAUCCUGGGGAGCCCCCACACUCCCCUCUUCCUGCCCCAUGGCUUGGAGCCCGAGGCUGGGGGCACCUUGCCCUCUCGCCUGCAGCCCAUUCUCCUCCUGGACCCCUCAGGCUCUCAUGCCCCGCUGCUGACUGUGCCCGGGCUUGGGCCCUUGCCCUUCCACUUUGCCCAGUCCUUAAUGACCACCGAGCGGCUCUCUGGGUCAGGCCUCCACUGGCCACUGAGCCGGACUCGCUCAGAGCCCCUGCCCCCCAGUGCCACCGCUCCCCCACCGCCGGGCCCCAUGCAGCCCCGCCUGGAGCAGCUCAAAACUCACGUCCAGGUGAUCAAGAGGUCAGCCAAGCCGAGUGAGAAGCCCCGGCUGCGGCAGAUACCCUCGGCUGAAGACCUGGAGACAGAUGGCGGGGGACCGGGCCAGGUGGUGGACGA